UACAGAGGGGGCAAGCGUUGUUCGGAAUUACUGGGCGUAAAGGGCGCGUAGGCGGCCUGCUAAGUCGAACGUGAAAUCCCCGGGCUCAACCCGGGAACUGCGUCCGAUACUGACAGGCUCGAAUCCGGGAGAGGGAUGUGGAAUUCCAGGUGUAGCGGUGAAAUGCGUAGAUAUCUGGAGGAACACCGGUGGCGAAGGCGGCAUCCUGGACCGGUAUUGACGCUGAGGCGCGAAAGCUAGGGGAGCAAACGGG
Molecule: ribosomal RNA, 253 nt
Filed under: uncultured bacterium
Lineage: Bacteria
Description: partial 16S ribosomal RNA
Rfam family: Bacterial small subunit ribosomal RNA
Source: RNAcentral